This 465-nucleotide ribosomal RNA is filed under the name uncultured bacterium. RNAcentral's name for it is "bacterial SSU rRNA". It matches the Rfam family "Bacterial small subunit ribosomal RNA", at positions 355 to 825 of the family's 1533-position model. The record is from RNAcentral.
UCGAGAAUCUUCGGCAAUGGGCGAAAGCCUGACCGAGCGAUGCCGCGUGCGGGAUGAAGGCCUUCGGGUUGUAAACCGCUGUCGUAGGGGAGAAAGGGUCGUUGAAGAAACGACUUUGAUCUAUCCUAGGAGGAAGUCCGGGCUAAGUUCGUGCCAGCAGCCGCGGUAACACGAACCGGACAAACGUUAUUCGGAAUUACUGGGCUUAAAGGGUGCGUAGGCGGUGCGGUAAGUGCGGUGUGAAAUCCCACGGCUCAACCGUGGAAUUGUGCUGCAUACUGCCGUGCUAGAGGGAGACAGGGGUAAGCGGAACUGAUGGUGGAGCGGUGAAAUGCGUUGAUAUCAUCAGGAACACCGGUGGCGAAAGCGGCUUACUGGGUCUCUUCUGACGCUGAGGCACGAAAGCUAGGGUAGCAAACGGGAUUAGAUACCCUAGUAGUCCCUGAGCGGGCUGGCAAGGCGCAU